Molecule: ribosomal RNA, 253 nt
Filed under: uncultured bacterium
Lineage: Bacteria
Description: partial 16S ribosomal RNA
Rfam family: Bacterial small subunit ribosomal RNA
Source: RNAcentral
CACGUAGGGUGCGAGCGUUGUCCGGAAUUAUUGGGCGUAAAGAGCUCGUAGGCGGUCUGUCGCGUCUGCCGUGAAAACCCGAGGCUUAACCUCGGGCUGGCGGUGGAUACGGGCAGACUAGAGGUAGGUAGGGGAGAAUGGAAUUCCCGGUGUAGCGGUGAAAUGCGCAGAUAUCGGGAGGAACACCGGUGGCGAAGGCGGUUCUCUGGGCCUUACCUGACGCUGAGGAGCGAAAGCGUGGGGAGCGAACAGG